RNAcentral lists this ribosomal RNA (423 nucleotides) under uncultured bacterium. RNAcentral describes it as "bacterial SSU rRNA". It matches the Rfam family "Bacterial small subunit ribosomal RNA", at positions 207 to 622 of the family's 1533-position model. The record is from RNAcentral.
AAGACCUUGCACUUUUGGAGUGGCCGAUGUCUGAUUAGCUAGUUGGUGGGGUAAUGGCCUACCAAGGCUUCGAUCAGUAGCUGGUCUGAGAGGACGGCCAGCCACACUGGGACUGAGACACGGCCCAGACUCCUACGGGAGGCAGCAGUGGGGAAUUUUGGACAAUGGGCGCAAGCCUGAUCCAGCCAUGCCGCGUGAGUGAAGAAGGCCUUCGGGUUGUAAAGCUCUUUCAGCCGGGAAGAAAAGGUUGCGACUAAUAAUCGCAAUCCAUGACGGUACCGAAAGAAGAAGCACCGGCUAACUACGUGCCAGCAGCCGCGGUAAUACGUAGGGUGCGAGCGUUAAUCGGAAUUACUGGGCGUAAAGGGUGCGCAGGCGGUUUUGUAAGUCAGAUGUGAAAUCCCCGGGCUUAACCUGGGAACU